UACGUAGGGGGGAAGCGUUGUCCGGAAUCAUUGGGCGUAAAGAGCGUGUAGGCGGCCCGAUAAGUCCGUCGUGAAAGUCCAGGGCUCAACCCUGGGAUGCCGGUGGAAACUGUCGGGCUAGAGUCCGGAAGAGGCGAGUGGAAUUCCUGGUGUAGCGGUGAAAUGCGCAGAUAUCGGGAGGAACACCAGUGGCGAAGGCGACUUCCUGGCCUGUUCUUGACGCUGAGGCGCGAAAGCUAGGGGAGCAAACGGG
Molecule: ribosomal RNA, 253 nt
Filed under: uncultured bacterium
Lineage: Bacteria
Description: partial 16S ribosomal RNA
Rfam family: Bacterial small subunit ribosomal RNA
Source: RNAcentral